AGCGAACGCUGGCGGCAUGCUUAACACAUGCAAGUCGCACGGUUCGGGGGCAACCUCGGGCAGUGGCGGACGGGUGAGUAACGCGUAGGAAUUUAUCCUUGGAUGGGGGACAACCGUGGGAAACUACGGCUAAUACCGCAUGAUGCCUGAGGGCCAAAGCUCGCGAGAGCGUCUGAGGAGGAGCCUGCGUCUGAUUAGGUAGUUGGUGGGGUAAAGGCCUACCAAGCCUGCGAUCAGUAGCUGGUCUGAGAGGAUGAUCAGCCACAUUGGGACUGAG
Molecule: ribosomal RNA, 277 nt
Filed under: uncultured bacterium
Lineage: Bacteria
Description: partial 16S ribosomal RNA
Rfam family: Bacterial small subunit ribosomal RNA
Source: RNAcentral